Long non-coding RNA from Leptopilina boulardi, 1966 nucleotides. RefSeq lists it as uncharacterized. The transcript has 2 exons. NCBI's taxonomy places the organism in Eukaryota, Metazoa, Arthropoda, Insecta, Hymenoptera, Figitidae. The record is from RefSeq and is a predicted model, not a curated record.
ACCUGGAUGACUUUUUGGUGGUAAUAGAGGUCUUCCUCUACUCGGAUUUGGCUGUCGAUUUUUUCUUCACUUUUAGGUGUAUUUUGUGCAAGAAUAUGCAAUAAAAUCGUCUGCCUAAGAAAAAUUGAAUUUUUUUGGAAAUUUUUUUUCGGACCUGGAUGACUUUUUAAUGGUAAUAGAGGUCUUCCUCUACUCGGAUUUGGCUGUCGAUUUUUUUCUACACUUUUAGGUGUAUUUUGUGCAAGAAUAUGCAAUAAAAUCGUCUGCCUAAGAAAAAUUGAAUUUUUUUGGAAAUUUUAUUUUGCACCUGGAUGACUUUUUGGUGGUAAUAGAGGUAUUCCUCUACUCGGAUUUGGCUGUCGAUUUUUUUUAACACUUUUAGGUGUAUUUUGUGCAAGAAUAUGCAAUAAAAUCGUCUGCCUAAGAAAAAUUGAAUUUUUUUGGAAAUUUUUUUUCGGACCUGGAUGACUUUUUGGUGGUAAUAGGGGUCUUCCUCUACUCGGAUUUGGCUGUCGAUUUUUUUCUACACUUUUAGGUGUAUUUUGUGCAAGAAUAUGCAAUAAAAUCGUCUGCCUAAGAAAAAUUGAAUUUUUUUGGAAAUUUUAUUUUGCACCUGGAUGACUUUUUGGUGGUAAUAGAGGUAUUCCUCUACUCGGAUUUGGCUGUCGAUUUUUUUCUACACUUUUAGGUGUAUUUUGUGCAAGAAUAUGCAAUAAAAUCGUCUGCCUAAGAAAAAUUGAAUUUUUUUGAAAAUUUUUUUUUUGACCUGGAUGACUUUUUGGUGGUAAUAGAGGUCUUCCUCUACUCGGAUUUGGCUGUCGAUUUUUUUUAACACUUUUAGGUGUAUUUUGUGCAAGAAUAUGCAAUAAAAUCGUCUGCCUAAGAAAAAUUGAAUUUUUUUGAAAAUUUUUUUUUUGACCUGGAUGACUUUUUGGUGGUAAUAGAGGUCUUCCUCUACUCGGAUUUGGCUGUCGAUUUUUUUUAACACUUUUAGGUGUAUUUUGUGCAAGAAUAUGCAAUAAAAUCGUCUGCCUAAGAAAAAUUGAAUUUUUUUGAAAAUUUUUUUUUGACCUGGAUGACUUUUUGGUGGUAAUAGAGGUAUUCCUCUACUCGGAUUUGGCUGUCGAUUUUUUUCUACACUUUUAGGUGUAUUUUGUGCAAGAAUAUGCAAUAAAAUCGUCUGCCUAAGAAAAAUUGAAUUUUUUUGGAAAUUUUAUUUUGCACCUGGAUGACUUUUUGGUGGUAAUAGAGGUAUUCCUCUACUCGGAUUUGGCUGUCGAUUUUUUUCUACACUUUUAGGUGUAUUUUGUGCAAGAAUAUGCAAUAAAAUCGUCUGCCUAAGAAAAAUUGAAUUUUUUUGAAAAUUUUUUUUUUGACCUGGAUGACUUUUUGGUGGUAAUAGAGGUCUUCCUCUACUCGGAUUUGGCUGUCGAUUUUUUUUAACACUUUUAGGUGUAUUUUGUGCAAGAAUAUGCAAUAAAAUCGUCUGCCUAAGAAAAAUUGAAUUUUUUUGAAAAUUUUUUUUUUGACCUGGAUGACUUUUUGGUGGUAAUAGAGGUCUUCCUCUACUCGGAUUUGGCUGUCGAUUUUUUUUAACACUUUUAGGUGUAUUUUGUGCAAGAAUAUGCAAUAAAAUCGUCUGCCUAAGAAAAAUUGAAUUUUUUUGAAAAUUUUUUUUUGGACCUGGAUGACUUUUUGGUGGUAAUAGAGGUCUUCCUCUACUCGGAUUUGGCUGUCGAUUUUUUUUACACUUUUAGGUGUAUUUUGUGCAAGAAUAUGCAAUAAAAUCGUCUGCCUAAGAAAAAUUGAAUUUUUUUGAAAAUUUUUUUUUUGACCUGGAUGACUUUUUGGUGGUAAUAGAGGUCUUCCUCUACUCGGAUUUGGCUGUCGAUUUUUUUCUACACUUUUAGGUGUAUUUUGUGCAAGAAUAUGCAAUAAAAUCGUCUGCCUAAGAAAAAUUGAAUUU